CCUAUCCCAAUUUCCAAUCCAACUGUACAGAAGCAUUUUUGGUUUCCAUGCUUUCAACUCUCAUUUCACUUCAUCCCCACCUCCCAAAUUACCGCGUACCUUACACCACCCAUUCACAAAACCUUGUUACGUGGAAGCGUAGAUUCCACGCCCCCCCAAUUUUUUUUUUUACUCUUUCAACUUACACAUGUCCGCCGACACAACUUGAAAGCUUCAAAAACCCAAUCAAAAUGCUAUCAAGAUUCCAGUUCAUUCCAAGUAAGUAAAACAGAGAAUUUAAUAUUAAACUAAAAAAAAAAGAAAAAAAAGGAAAAAACAGAUAGGCUAGCGAGGCGUAUAUAUAUGCGAGUUCAUAGCUGUCUUCCCAAUCUACUACUCCUACUCCGAAAACCUCUAUAUCUCUUUCUCUUUCUUUGUGUCAUUUUCACAAACACUUAACUCGCCCUAGAUCUCUCCUCGAUAAUUAUGACUUUUUUGUAGAACCUUCCUCACACUCUUUCUCUCUCUUUUUUUUCUUUGAAAUGCAUCAUUUCUGAGUUGAUCCUCCUUGAAGCUCAGAAACGAGAUUCAAAAAAUGGACGGUGGUGAUGGAACGGUGAGGUUAGGUGCUCUGAACAUGAAGCCGGAUCGGGUCGGAUUGGAUUCGGGUCCGGAUGUGUCCGUUUCGUCACCCGUUACCCGGCAGAAAGCCGCGGCGGCUAAACAGUUCAUUGAGAAUCACUACAAGAACUAUCUCCAAGGACUUCAGGAUCGCAAAGAAAGGCGGCGGGCGCUUCAAAUUAAGGCGGAAGAAGCUCAGGUAUCAAGUGAGGAACAAGAGGAGAUGCUGAGAAAUUUGGAGCGGAAAGAAACAGAAUACAUGAGGCUGCAGAGACGUAAAGUCGGAAUUGAUGACUUUGAGCAAUUAACUGUAAUUGGUAAAGGUGCAUUUGGCGAGGUUAGAAUUUGUCGAGCUAAAGGUACGGGAGAGAUUUAUGCAAUGAAGAAAUUGAAGAAAUCAGAGAUGCUUAGCCGUGGACAGGUUGAGCAUGUUCGAUCAGAGAGGAACUUGCUUGCAGAGGUUGAUAGUCGGUGCAUUGUAAAACUCUUUUAUUCUUUUCAAGAUUCUGAUUUCUUGUACCUUAUCAUGGAGUAUUUACCGGGUGGGGACAUUAUGACAUUACUGAUGAGAGAGGAUAUUCUUUCUGAAGAUGUUGCACGAUUUUACAUAGCAGAGAGCAUUCUAGCUAUUCACUCAAUUCAUCUGCAUAAAUAUAUUCAUAGGGACAUAAAACCAGAUAACCUGAUACUGGAUAAAAGUGGACAUUUGAAGCUUUCAGAUUUUGGCUUGUGCAAGCCACUGGAUGAUAAAUAUUCAACAAUAUUAUUAGAAAAUGAGGAUUUAUUCACUCAGGAAUCCACAUCUGAAAGUGAAGGACAUCCUGGCUGUGAUAGAGUCCCUUGGUUGAUGCCAAAGGAACAAUUACAACAAUGGAAACGUAAUCGUCGUGCGUUGGCUUAUUCAACUGUUGGUACUCUUGAUUAUAUGGCACCUGAAGUUUUGCUUAAGAAGGGGUAUGGAAUGGAGUGCGAUUGGUGGUCACUGGGGGCAAUCAUGUAUGAGAUGCUUAUUGGCUAUCCUCCCUUCUGUUCUGAAGAUCCAAGGAUUACAUGCCGGAAGAUAAUCAAUUGGAAAACGUGCUUGAAAUUCCCUGAGGAACCAAAAAUAUCAGAGGAGGCUAGGGAUCUGAUAUGUCAUUUGUUAUGUGAUGUUGAAACAAGGUUGGGCACCCAAGGAGUGGAAGAAAUAAAGGCACAUCCAUGGUUCAGAUGCACUCAGUGGGACAUGCUAUAUGAAAUGGAAGCUGCAUAUAGACCUACUGUAAAUGGAGACUUAGACACUCAGAAUUUUGAAAAGUUUGCUGAAGUAGAAGGUCCACCAUCCACAAUACCAACUAUGGGACCCUGGCGGAAGAUGUUGGCAUCUAAAGAUAACAAUUUCAUAGGAUUUACUUUCAAGAAGUCAGAUGCCCGUAAAGCACUUGAAAGUUCAGGAUGCUGAUUCAGCUUAAUGUGAACAUACUUAAGGAGAUACAGAUUUUAGAUCAAAUGGAUCUUCGAAGGCCCCAUCACUAAUUUCCUUGUUAGGUCGGAUUGACUUGCAAGAGACUGUGAUACCAGAGGGGGAGCAGAAGCAGGAAACUUGAGUUUAAAUAUCUUCCUGUUCUGCUUCAAUUGGAUUGGGUAUUAAUAUUUUCUUCAAACACACACAAGAGUGAGAGAAUGAUUUGGUGAAAUUUUCACUCUGUGAAAACAUGAAUAAGGUCAUGAUCUUGAAGCACAAUUCUUUGUUUCUCCCCUCCCCUCAGUAUGUUGUAUCGCAUAAGUGCCACAGCAAAGCCAAUAAUAAUUCAGUUCAAAACGUCCUGCUUGCGAAGCAAAAGGCUAAAUUAUAGUUUUGAUUCUAUCUGUAUAUCCGAUGUUAACAUAGUAUCACCUCAUUCAAUUCAAUUUUGUCGGUUGGAAGUGGAUAUAUUUUUGUAAUUUAUUCAAUUUUUUCAUAUGAAUGCUUUGGACAUCAGUAUCAAGAGCAAUCUUAUUAUGAGCUUCCAUUUUUCUAUAAAUGCUUUGGACAUUGGUACUA
RNA transcript from Quercus robur (English oak), 2623 nucleotides. RefSeq lists it as uncharacterized. NCBI's taxonomy places the organism in Eukaryota, Viridiplantae, Streptophyta, Magnoliopsida, Fagales, Fagaceae. The record is from RefSeq and is a predicted model, not a curated record. The transcript has 13 exons.